This 358-nucleotide transfer RNA is filed under the name uncultured Microcystis sp. RNAcentral's name for it is "partial 16S-23S ribosomal RNA intergenic spacer". The stretch from base 133 to 206 matches the Rfam family "tRNA". Lineage: Bacteria; Bacillati; Cyanobacteriota; Cyanophyceae; Chroococcales; Microcystaceae. The record is from RNAcentral.
AAGGGAGACCUAAUUCCGGUAGGAGACGAAAAAAAAGUAGUCCCAACCAAGAAUCAAUCCCAAAAGGUCGGAACGAGGUAUGAGGCUUUCAAACUAGGUUCUGGGUUCAUAAAAGACCUUAAUCAGGAACAAGGGCUAUUAGCUCAGGUGGUUAGAGCGCACCCCUGGUAAGGGUGAGGUCCCUGGUUCGAGUCCAGGAUGGCCCACCUGCACAGGUGGCAAAAACAAGAGAAGCUCCGAAUCAGCACCUUAUCUUAUAUACAUAUAUAAGAGAGAAUGCUGGCUCUGAGUACAGAGUCCAGAGGAACCUUGAAAACUGCAUAGAGCUAGGUGAAAAAGCCAAAAAAGAAGACCGCAA